AUGAGCCUAGGUCGGAUUAGCUAGUUGGUGAGGUAAUGGCUCACCAAGGCGACGAUCCGUAACUGGUCUGAGAGGAUGAUCAGUCACACUGGAACUGAGACACGGUCCAGACUCCUACGGGAGGCAGCAGUGGGGAAUAUUGGACAAUGGGCGAAAGCCUGAUCCAGCCAUGCCGCGUGUGUGAAGAAGGUCUUCGGAUUGUAAAGCACUUUAAGUUGGGAGGAAGGGUUGUAGAUUAAUACUCUGCAAUUUUGACGUUACCGACAGAAUAAGCACCGGCUAACUCUGUGCCAGCAGCCGCGGUAAUACAGAGGGUGCAAGCGUUAAUCGGAAUUACUGGGCGUAAAGCGCGCGUAGGUGGUUUGUUAAGUUGGAUGUGAAAUCCCCGGGCUCAACCUGGGAACUGCAUUCAAAACUGACUGACUAGAGUAUGGUAGAGGGUGGU
Molecule: ribosomal RNA, 445 nt
Filed under: Pseudomonas cedrina
Lineage: Bacteria; Pseudomonadati; Pseudomonadota; Gammaproteobacteria; Pseudomonadales; Pseudomonadaceae
Description: bacterial SSU rRNA
Rfam family: Bacterial small subunit ribosomal RNA
Source: RNAcentral